Molecule: ribosomal RNA, 798 nt
Filed under: Triticum aestivum (bread wheat)
Lineage: Eukaryota; Viridiplantae; Streptophyta; Magnoliopsida; Poales; Poaceae
Description: partial small subunit ribosomal RNA
Source: RNAcentral
AUGGCGCCACGAAGGAAGUUCUCUGCCGCCGAGAAGGGGAAGGCCCCUCGCGAGGGCCCCGGUUCCCCGACGCCCAAGCAUGGUCGCGGCCGUGCGCGCAAGCACGCUGCGACCCCCACUGUGGCCCACCAUCGAGGUGGCGCCGCGGCACGCGGAGGGGACCGUCCCAACCAUGGCGGUCCAGCUGACGAGGGGAGGCGCGCUAUGGUGGCGCGGCCUCCCCGCCCACGCUUCCAUUCAGCAGAGGUGUCGCCGGAGUUCGUUGUUUGGUCGGAGAACCCGGCCGGCAACUGGCUCCAGCUUCCGCGCUUCUUUGUCGAUGAACUGUCGGCCCCUAGUCCAGGCGGGCUCUGGUUGCAGACGAAUGGUUGCUGCAGCAAGGCCUCCUGGGUCGCGGUCGAGACUUCCUCCACAGGCAACAUAGCCCUGGCCCGCGGCUGGCAGAUGUUCGCCCGUGCGCGCGGCCUGGGCAGGCGGUGCACGCUCCACUUCAGGUAUGACGGUGGGUCGACCCUCUACGUGAGGAUGUUCGGGGAAGAUGGUCGCCGUGCCGGGUGCUGCCCCAAGACGAACGACGGUGAGGAGGUGCUCGGCCUUGGCGACGGUCGCGACAAGGAUGAGGGCGAGCCUGCCCUCGGCGGCGACCGCGUCUCUUACAGCUACGGCGGCACUUCCUUUGGUGACAGCUCCAGCAGCGGUGGCUACAACCAGCCGCCGCGCCACUGCACCCGCUUCGAAGGAGGCAGCGGGUCAUCUCACCGUCACGCCUUCGUGAAGCACGAGGAGGGGUCUGGCUAG